This is a long non-coding RNA of Saccostrea cuccullata (small rock oyster), 567 nucleotides long. RefSeq lists it as uncharacterized. The transcript is spliced from 4 exons. The record is from RefSeq and is a predicted model, not a curated record. NCBI's taxonomy places the organism in Eukaryota, Metazoa, Mollusca, Bivalvia, Ostreida, Ostreidae.
GAAGGGAGGGAUGCACUUUGGUUAGAGAUUUUCAUUUGGUGUCAAACACACCUAGUUGUAAACAAAUGGAAAUUGAAAGUAAAAGUGCAACGGCACGGUAUAUUUUUUCUGGCAUUUUUUGUUUUCCAAUAUCUCGAACUUUCACGACAAAAAGGUCAUUUGCCCGAAAUUCAAUAUAUGUAUCAGUGAGAGGGGCUAAAGUUUGUAUGGAAGUCUAUGGGAAAACAUUUGGUGGUGUUUGUCCUAUAGAAAAGCGAUGCAUUCUCAAGAAGGAAGAGAUUAAUGAACCCUACCCUCUUACAAUGAACAACACAUGGAUACUCUCGGGAUGAUCCCUUUGCUUUCAUUAAGAGUUCCAAGAUGUGGGUCUGAUUGACUGGGGUGUGAAAUGUAACAGCCAAUGGUGUACUUAAGGAAAAACCCCUACAUAAACAAAUACAUGGGCGCAGACACUUUGGACACCCAAAGUUGUGCGGAGGAGAAAAUGCUAGCUGGCGCGUGAUUGGUCAAUAAGAGAAAAGACUUGUUAUGUAUUUGACAAGUGAAAUAAAGUUGAUAAAAAUCUCA